GACGAACGCUGGCGGCGUGCUUAACACAUGCAAGUCGAACGGAAAGGCCCUGCUUUUGUGGGGUGCUCGAGUGGCGAACGGGGGAGUAACACGUGAGUAACCUGCCCUUGACUUUGGGAUAACUUCAGGAAACUGGGGCUAAUACCGGAUAGGAGCUCCUGCUGCAUGGUGGGGGUUGGAAAGUUUCGGCGGUUGGGGAUGGACUUGCGGCUUAUCAGCUUGUUGGUGGGGUAGGGGCUUACCAAGGCUUUGACGGGUAGCCGGCCUGAGAGGGUGACCGGCCACAUUGGGACUGAGAUACGGCCCAGACUCCUACGGGAGGCAGCAGUGGGGAAUAUUGCACAAUGGGCGGAAGCCUGAUGCAGCAACGCCGCGUGCGGGAUGACGGCCUUCGGGUUGUAAACCGCUUUCGCCUGUGACGAAGCGUGAGUGACGGUAAUGGGUAAAGAAGCACCGGCUAACUACGUG
Molecule: ribosomal RNA, 468 nt
Filed under: uncultured bacterium
Lineage: Bacteria
Description: partial 16S ribosomal RNA
Rfam family: Bacterial small subunit ribosomal RNA
Source: RNAcentral